This 440-nucleotide ribosomal RNA is filed under the name uncultured bacterium. RNAcentral describes it as "partial 16S ribosomal RNA". It matches the Rfam family "Bacterial small subunit ribosomal RNA", at positions 338 to 795 of the family's 1533-position model. The record is from RNAcentral.
CCUACGGGUGGCUGCAGUGGGGAAUAUUGCACAAUGGGGGAAACCCUGAUGCAGCGACGCCGCGUGAGUGAAGAAGUAUUUCGGUAUGUAAAGCUCUAUCAGCAGGGAAGAAAAAGACGGUACCUGACUAAGAAGCUCUUGCUAACAACGUGCCAGCAGCCGAGGUAAUACGUAGGGGGCAAGCGUUAUCUGGAUUUACUGGGUGUAAAGGGAGCGUAGACGGUAGCACAAGUCUGGUGUGAAAUGCCGGGGCUUAACCCCGGAACUGCAUUGGAAACUGUACAGCUAGAGUGCAGGAGAGGUAAGUGGAAUUCCUAGUGUAGCGGUGAAAUGCGUAGAGAUUAGGAGGAACACCAGUGGCGAAGGCGACUUUCUGGACUGUAACUGACGUUGAUGCUCGAAAGCGUGGGGAGCAAACAGGAUUAGAUACCCCUGUAGUC